RNAcentral lists this long non-coding RNA (832 nucleotides) under Glycine max (soybean). RNAcentral's name for it is "long non-coding RNA (GMAX_LNC001751)". Lineage: Eukaryota; Viridiplantae; Streptophyta; Magnoliopsida; Fabales; Fabaceae. The record is from RNAcentral.
AGGAAAUAGAAUUAUUAUAUUUUAAUUCAAAUUGUUCUCAGCAGCGAUACAAUAAAUAAUAAAAGAUAAACUAAUUAGAUAACAAGAUAUUAGUAAAACAGAAUAUCAAAACUAACUUGCUCCUUAAAAAUAGAAACCACUUAUUGACUAAGUUCAUCCAUUAAAACUGACUUACUUUUAAAAUAUAGAAAAUCAACUUAUUUACUAAAUCCUAUUUAAAAAAUAAAAUAUUAUGCUUCAAUAAAUUCAAAGUUGAUUUUAGACUAAAUAUAAAUGGACAAACGUACUUUAGAGAGAAAUCAAACAUAUCAACCGAGUUUAUUGGACAAGCUAGCGCCAGUAAGAAGAGGUUAAACAGUAAUUAGGAAGGAAUUUAUCUAUGCCUUAAGACCGUGAUGGCUUAGUUAAUAGAGGAUCUUUAUUAAAUAACAGCAGUGUUGUUCUUUUGUUGUCUAAUGAUGUUUUCCCCUGCAUGUAAUGUUGGUGACUUGGUGGCGGUGAUGUAACCGAUAAUUAAUUUUCUCCAGGAGACUACACAAAACACCAUAAAAAUGAAAGAUAUUUGGCUGUCUGGUCGUAAAAUAUAUAUAUAAAAAAAGGCACAAGUGUGAGAAAGCAACCUAUUGUGUUUGUGGACAGCUAUUUUCUGUGCUGUAUAGUCUAAAACCAAACCUGCAAUAUAUUAAUUUUUGUGGUGUAUCUUUGAUGGCAGGAACUAUAUAUGAUCCUCUUGUGAAAUUACUGUACAAGUUAGCUUCACUUGUUGUAUUAGGAGGUGGAGUGCCGGAUAUAUAUAUCCACUGUCACCUCUUGAGCACCUCAUCACAGAUUG